UGCAGUCGAGCGGUAGAGAGAAGCUUGCUUCUCUUGAGAGCGGCGGACGGGUGAGUAAUGCCUAGGAAUCUGCCUGGUAGUGGGGGAUAACGUUCGGAAACGGACGCUAAUACCGCAUACGUCCUACGGGAGAAAGCAGGGGACCUUCGGGCCUUGCGCUAUCAGAUGAGCCUAGGUCGGAUUAGCUAGUUGGUGGGGUAAUGGCUCACCAAGGCGACGAUCCGUAACUGGUCUGAGAGGAUGAUCAGUCACACUGGAACUGAGACACGGUCCAGACUCCUACGGGAGGCAGCAGUGGGGAAUAUUGGACAAUGGGCGAAAGCCUGAUCCAGCCAUGCCGCGUGUGUGAAGAAGGUCUUCGGAUUGUAAAGCACUUUAAGUUGGGAGGAAGGGUUGUAGAUUAAUACUCUGCAAUUUUGACGUUACCGACAGAAUAAGCACCGGCUAACUCUGUGCCAGCAGCCGCGGUAAUACAGAGGGUGCAAGCGUUAAUCGGAAUUACUGGGCGUAAAGCGCGCGUAGGUGGUUUGUUAAGUUGGAUGUGAAAUCCCCGGGCUCAACCUGGGAACUGCAUUCAAAACUGACUGACUAGAGUAUGGUAGAGGGUGGUGGAAUUUCCUGUGUAGCGGUGAAAUGCGUAGAUAUAGGAAGGAACACCAGUGGCGAAGGCGACCACCUGGACUAAUACUGACACUGAGGUGCGAAAGCGUGGGGAGCAAACAGGAUUAGAUA
RNAcentral lists this ribosomal RNA (732 nucleotides) under Pseudomonas sp. RMAN6. RNAcentral describes it as "bacterial SSU rRNA". It matches the Rfam family "Bacterial small subunit ribosomal RNA", at positions 56 to 784 of the family's 1533-position model. Lineage: Bacteria; Pseudomonadati; Pseudomonadota; Gammaproteobacteria; Pseudomonadales; Pseudomonadaceae. The record is from RNAcentral.